AAACUUUCAACAACGGAUCUCUUGGCUUUCGCAUCGAUGAAGAACGCCGCGAAAUGCGAUAAGUAGUGUGAAUUGCAGAACUUUGUGAACCAUCGAAUCUUUGAACGCAAAUUGCGCCUUCUUUCGGAAGGCAUGUCUGUUUGAGGGCACCAU
Molecule: ribosomal RNA, 153 nt
Filed under: uncultured Paraglomus
Lineage: Eukaryota; Fungi; Glomeromycota; Glomeromycetes; Paraglomerales; Paraglomeraceae
Description: 5.8S ribosomal RNA
Rfam family: 5.8S ribosomal RNA
About the family: 5.8S ribosomal RNA (5.8S rRNA) is a component of the large subunit of the eukaryotic ribosome. It is transcribed by RNA polymerase I as part of the 45S precursor that also contains 18S and 28S rRNA.
Source: RNAcentral